UAGGGAAUCUUCGGCAAUGGACGGAAGUCUGACCGAGCAACGCCGCGUGAGUGAAGAAGGUUUUCGGAUCGUAAAGCUCUGUUGUAAGAGAAGAACGAGUGUGAGAGUGGAAAGUUCACACUGUGACGGUAUCUUACCAGAAAGGGACGGCUAACUACGUGCCAGCAGCCGCGGUAAUACGUAGGUCCCGAGCGUUGUCCGGAUUUAUUGGGCGUAAAGCGAGCGCAGGCGGUUAGAUAAGUCUGAAGUUAAAGGCUGUGGCUUAACCAUAGUACGCUUUGGAAACUGUUUAACUUGAGUGCAAGAGGGGAGAGUGGAAUUCCAUGUGUAGCGGUGAAAUGCGUAGAUAUAUGGAGGAACACCGGUGGCGAAAGCGGCUCUCUGGUCUGUAACUGACGCUGAGGCUCGAAAGUGUGGGGAGCAAACAGGAUUAGAUACCCUGGUAGUCCACGCCGUAAACGAUGAGUGCUAGGUGUUGGGUCCUUUCCGGGACUCAGUGCCGCAGCUAACGCAUUAAGCACUCCGCCUGGGGAGUACGACCGCAAGGUUG
This 550-nucleotide ribosomal RNA is filed under the name uncultured bacterium. RNAcentral's name for it is "bacterial SSU rRNA". It matches the Rfam family "Bacterial small subunit ribosomal RNA", at positions 355 to 896 of the family's 1533-position model. The record is from RNAcentral.